Long non-coding RNA from Passer montanus (Eurasian tree sparrow), 1663 nucleotides. RefSeq lists it as uncharacterized. The transcript has 5 exons. Lineage: Eukaryota; Metazoa; Chordata; Aves; Passeriformes; Passeridae. The record is from RefSeq and is a predicted model, not a curated record.
CUCACAUCCGUUUGUGGUUUGUAAAGAGAGAGAGAGGAGAGGAAAAAAAAAAUCUCUUCCAAAAAAGCACCGGUCUGCAGAUGUCUGCAAGAGAACCCACGAACCCUCCUUCUUCUACGGCAGGGCAGGUAUUUUACAAAUGUACAUAUGAAUGUCAGCUGAACAGUCAGGAGAAAGAAAAGACUGAACAGAGGGCUGGUCACAAGCAGAGGAAGGGUCUGUAUCACCAGUUUAUCCAUAGUAUUCAACAGGGAAUUCUCAUCUGCAAGACACAUGCCAAGCAGAUGUCUUCUGCUAGAGAAAAUUUUAAUUUUCAUUUUUAUUCACAAGGUCUCUGUGAAGAGAUGGGUGUUUCUUAAAUCUCCAGGCAAGCAGUUGGCAGGAGUACCAGUUGAAGGGAAUGAAUCAUCUGUGUUAGCUGUUCGUCUUUAAAAAUGGACUCUUCAGUGGCAUGUAAGUGCGUCAUAGAUAAUGGACUAACUUUGUGAACAUACUCCUGCAGUAGAAAGGACAAAAAUGAACAAUUCUUAUGUAAUUAGUCACCCGACACAAGUGUUCCAGGAUAAGAUCUUCUGAAGUAUCAUAGCAGAAAUAUAAAUGGAAUACUUAGAGUUGCUGUUGUCAGCUGUUAAAAAUGGAAGUAUUUCUGCAGCAUUUCAUGUUCUCUGGAUAGUUGUGCAUCAAACUAAGGUAUUCUUGUGGCAUUGAAUUGCACAAGGGCAGUUAACUGCUUUCCUUCUGCCCUAGAAGCAAAACAGCCCACUGGCACAAUUUAAGGCAAAAAGAUCAGGCUGGACCAGGCUUGUGUUUGCCCUGCUUCUCUAGAUUUUUGCCUGUCUUGUUUGGUAUAAAGGCAUUUCUUACAUUUGAAUGUGCUGUGGUGGUUAUUCAAAUUGUUAAUAGAUGCAGUUUCCUAACAUUCCAGCUCAAACAUUGGAAUACAAUAAACUUGAGCUGACUGGGCAUCAAAAGGCAUAAACCAGCAGUGUUAAUACAAUCAGUGUCAUGGGAUCAUUACUGCUGAAAACUGGGACUACAGCCCAUGGGUAUUAUUGUGUGUCUUCCAUCAGCUUCUCAAAGUGCACUCCAUGCACACCCAAGAAGGCCAGACAAUCUCUCCCUUAACCUAUUGGAAAGAAAUUUGUUGAGGUACACAUGUUUUCACACACAGCUUAAGAGAUAUACUCCCAUAAUUACUAGCACUGCUUGUAAGUCAGGAGUUAGUGCAGGCACAGCAUCCAGGUGUAGGAUGUUAUUACUGGUUCUGCUUUGGAAAUAUACUCAAGUGUGCCUCUCUGCCAUCUGGCAUUUCUGAUUCAGGAGAAUCUCUGUGUUUUCUUGUCUUCCUUGAACACUAAAAUCAAGGGUCAAGGUCUGCUUUUUUCUUUUGUGCAGUUUGGUUCAUUUGGGAGUUGUUCCUAACAUAACAAAGCUGUGGUUUUACAGUAGGCUUCAGCAAAUUUAAAUCUGUGCUGCUGCUGAAGAUGGUGGUACUGGUCUCUUUUCCUUCCUGCUCCAGCUGCAUAUUCUGCUGUCUCCGUAGGGAGAAUGAGCAUACUUCUGGCUUCAAGGUCAGCUGUGUCAGGAACCAUCUGAAAAUUACUGUGUGGCUCAGAUCUCAGGUGGAUCAUUUUGGUAUUUUUGAUCUGGCGGACUCUGAGGC